GAAUUGGUGGGAAUGGAUUUAAUAGGACCGUUACCAGUAACAAAGGAUGGAUACCAGUAUAUACUUACAGCCAUAGAUUAUCUUUCAAGAUGGGUGGAAGCCUUUCCACUUAGAAAUAAGUCGUCAAUUGAGGUGGUACAGAUCAUGUUCACAAUGAUUCUUCGACGUGGAUGCCCACAGCGGAUACUGACAGAUCGUGGUGCAGAAUUCAAUAAUAAGCUUAACUUGUAUGUUUGUAAUAAAUUGGGAAUAGAACGUAGCUUCACCAGUCCAUACCACCCACAAACCAAUGGCUUGGCUGAAAACGCUAAUAAAUCCAUAAAAAGGUAAGUGAAUGGGUGGGUAUCGUACAGUAUUAAUGGCAAGUAGAAUGUGCUAUAUUAGAAGAUGCAACUCACAAAAAAAUCUUCAAAAGCAAUGUGUUACAUGGAAAUCUUUUUCAUUACGUAUUACACCUUUUUGAUUGUGUAUGAUCUGUUUCAAACAAGACCGUACAUGUGACUUUCUUUUCUUAAACAAUCAAAUCAAUGUGCCUUUGUUACAGAGCACUGCAGAAGAUGGUUGAUGACAAUGGGAGUAAUUGGGAUAAAUUACUUGAACCCAUUUUGUUUUCUUUGCGAACUAAAAUACAUGCAACAACAAAAAUUUCACCUUUCCGACUAAUGUUUGGUGAUGAUGUAGUGUUUCCAGAAGAUGUCUUAGAGAAUUACACGAUCCCAGAUCUGAAUAUGUUAGUGGAAGAUUUCUUCAAAGAGAACAGCAUGAAUAUGAAAUCGAGACAUGACGCUGACAUUGCGCUGCCACUAAGUAACAUUGCUAAAGCACAAGAAAAACAACAAAGACAUUAUGCUAAAAAGACUUCUAAAUAUGGGGAAAUAACAUUUGAAGUUGGGGACUCUGUACUAUUACUGAAUACUAGACAGAGAACAAGAAAAGAAGGAGUAUUGGAAUCUAAAUAUCAUGGACCAUACAAAAUUAUGAGUGUUGAAGGUAAGAGAGUGAAAUUACAAACCAUCUCAGGGAAACAGUUAGGAACCAUGUACAGUAUUGC
Long non-coding RNA from Gopherus evgoodei (Goodes thornscrub tortoise), 1051 nucleotides. RefSeq lists it as uncharacterized. Lineage: Eukaryota; Metazoa; Chordata; Testudines; Testudinidae. The transcript has 3 exons. The record is from RefSeq and is a predicted model, not a curated record.